RNAcentral lists this ribosomal RNA (543 nucleotides) under Bifidobacterium adolescentis. RNAcentral describes it as "partial 16S ribosomal RNA". It matches the Rfam family "Bacterial small subunit ribosomal RNA", at positions 157 to 711 of the family's 1533-position model. The record is from RNAcentral. Lineage: Bacteria; Bacillati; Actinomycetota; Actinomycetes; Bifidobacteriales; Bifidobacteriaceae.
CGGGUGGUAAUGCCGGAUGCUCCAGUUGACCGCAUGGUCCUCUGGGAAAGCUUUUGCGGUAUGGGAUGGGGUCGCGUCCUAUCAGCUUGAUGGCGGGGUAACGGCCCACCAUGGCUUCGACGGGUAGCCGGCCUGAGAGGGCGACCGGCCACAUUGGGACUGAGAUACGGCCCAGACUCCUACGGGAGGCAGCAGUGGGGAAUAUUGCACAAUGGGCGCAAGCCUGAUGCAGCGACGCCGCGUGCGGGAUGACGGCCUUCGGGUUGUAAACCGCUUUUGACUGGGAGCAAGCCCUUCGGGGUGAGUGUACCUUUCGAAUAAGCACCGGCUAACUACGUGCCAGCAGCCGCGGUAAUACGUAGGGUGCAAGCGUUAUCCGGAAUUAUUGGGCGUAAAGGGCUCGUAGGCGGUUCGUCGCGUCCGGUGUGAAAGUCCAUCGCUUAACGGUGGAUCCGCGCCGGGUACGGGCGGGCUUGAGUGCGGUAGGGGAGACUGUUUUUCCCGGUGUAACGGUGGAAUGUGUAGAUAUCGGGAAGAACACCA